GGACGAGACUUCAUACAUCUCUGCUCCUCCUCGCUCCCUCCGCUCGUCUCUCCCUCCGGCAAAGCGAACGGGGAAUCCAUGAUCGCAAGGAGGUCUGGUUGCAAAGAUUGAUACAGGAAGUCGAGUCAGAUUCCACUUUCGAGGGGAAUUCAUCCUCUCUCCAGGAAAAUCACAGUAUGUGAGAGGCCGUAGCGCAAUGUCGUAUAUUGAAAUGGACAAGCUUUCUCUUCCUGAGAUCAUUGGGCAUCUUGGUGAUCAUAUGUCUUCCUCUGAUGCACUGCAUUUGCAUUGGUUGCGUCCGGGGAAGGAGUUGGUCAAUGGGCUUAUCCUAUUGGCUGAUGAUGCAUCCUGCCAAAUGAUGCGUGAUCACAUCAACACUGGUGGAGUAGCAGAUAUUUAUGUAGAGGAUAUUUCUAUGGAGGAAGGUGAUAAUGAGGGAUCCUACAGAUCACCGUCACAGCCAGGGAGUUCAAACAGAGAUGUACCUCAAGGUGAACCUGAUAGCAGAACAGAAUGUGAAGAUACUGACACUACUUCAGAUGAAGAUUAUGAGCAGCUUGUAGAGGACAACAGCUCUGCAGAUGAUGAUGAAGCAGAACAGCUUAAGAAAUUUGCCAAGGACAUAAAGAGAAACAUAAGGGCAGAUAAGCUAGGAGUCCAUGGAAGCCAAAUAGAAGGGGAAAAUGCAAAUGGGUACCUACUCUAUUAGCUGAAGUAGAUGACUUACAAGAUGUAGCUAGUCCCUACUAUGAUUCAAGUGAUGACUACUCUUAUGGAUUCUAGGUUCAAGCCAAUCAUUUUUAUGCAUGAGGCUAUAAGAUGCAAGGUUAUGGUCAGAAUCCAAGAGAACAGGGACAAGACAAAUAGGUGGCAGGGAACAAUAUCCCAAACAUAUUCAGAAAGUUGAAGCUCAACAUUGUGAGAUCCAGCAACUGUCAAGUGUUAUAUGGAAUGGACAAGAUGGGUUUGAACUGACUGAGAAUAACAAGUGGAGGUAUACUGUCAAUUUGGAGCAGAAAGCAUGUAGCUGCAGGUAUUGGCAACUCUCAAGUUUGCCAUGUUGUCAUGCUAUCAGUGCAAUAUACAAAGGCAUCCAAGCACUUGGAUGAUUUCAUAGCACCAUGUUUCUCAAUAUUAGAGUACAAGAAAACCUAUCAACAUUGUUUGCAUCCAGUUGAAGGGCAACACAAUUGGCCAAUUUCUAACAUGCCAAGGCCACUUCCUCCUGCUUAUAUUAGGAUGCCAGGGAGGCCCAAGACACAAAGAACAAGGGAGCCAGGAGAAGCACCUAAGGGAACAAAGUUAAGUAAGGUGGGAAUCAAGAUGAGGUGUAGGAUGUGUCAGAAAACUACACACAAUUCAAGGACUUGUCAAAGAAAUCCAGAAGCAGGCAAAAAGAAGAAUUCCUACAUCAAGAGAGAUGCUAGGAAAAGGAAGAGAAGUGAGGAGCUGACAUCGGUUGCAGGCACAUCAAAUCCAGGGGGUGGAGUCGGCACACAGGAGAGUAGCACUACUCAACUUGGAAGAAACAACAGGGCAAGGAGGGAACCAACUCAGCCUGGAAGAAGAAGCACGGCAAGAGGGGCUCCAGUUCAGACUGGUAGCAGCAACAAUAUGUCGAGAAUGGCACACCUGAUAUUUGGGAACAACUACUGAAGUAGCCGAGGAAUCAGAAACUAGGAUGCUUUUUGUACAAGCCUGUUAUCUAGGCAGCACAUGUAGCAGCUUGAUUACCUUUUGUUUGUGAAUAUUUGAAUGCUAUGGCAAAACAACAUUAGCUGUUGAACAUGUAUGGAUGGUUAAUUUGCUGGUUACGUAUGAUUUUUGGAAAACAUCUGGUGGCUGGUUAUGAUUUAUAAAUAUGUGUGCCUUUGAA
This is a long non-coding RNA of Setaria italica (foxtail millet), 1876 nucleotides long. RefSeq lists it as uncharacterized. NCBI's taxonomy places the organism in Eukaryota, Viridiplantae, Streptophyta, Magnoliopsida, Poales, Poaceae. The record is from RefSeq and is a predicted model, not a curated record. The transcript has 3 exons.